Long non-coding RNA from Zalophus californianus (California sea lion), 442 nucleotides. RefSeq lists it as uncharacterized. The transcript is spliced from 3 exons. The record is from RefSeq and is a predicted model, not a curated record. NCBI's taxonomy places the organism in Eukaryota, Metazoa, Chordata, Mammalia, Carnivora, Otariidae.
AAACCAUGUGAAUACAAGUGGGGAAAAACCAGGCAGUAGCAGACUUUGGAUUCCAAGCCAGUGAGCCUGUUGAGAGAGGGAGUUUUGCAUGCCACGUUGUGAAUUAUUACAGCAAGACCCAGGUGGUCUCUUUGAGAGACACAGAGAGAGACAGAGAAAGAGAGAGAGAAUGAGAGAGAGAGGUUGAGAAGCUGAAUUUCUAUGAAGCAUCAAUAGAGUCUCCGUCAACCCCACGGGGAAUUCUGAAGUGAUUCAGCUCGUCAGGAGUCAGAGACAGCCCCUGUGCAGCCUCCUGCCCACUGUGGCCACACGGUCUCUGUCCCUCUCUUGGCUGGACUGGCCUAGAGAAACAGGAAUGUGUUGUCCAGGACACAGCAAGACCUGGAAAACCACACCUCUGCCUGUCAGAUGCAUCUGUGGACAGCCCUCCUAUCUGCCUCCA